RNAcentral lists this long non-coding RNA (4098 nucleotides) under Papio anubis (olive baboon). Its description in RNAcentral is "lncRNA (ENSPANG00000047626.1)". Lineage: Eukaryota; Metazoa; Chordata; Mammalia; Primates; Cercopithecidae. The record is from RNAcentral.
CUGGUCCUAGAAAUCCCCGCAGGGGGACACAGUGCAUCUGUGCGAGGGAUGACGUAACCAUCCUCUGAGAACCAGAGCAUCUUUUCCAAUAUUAAUUGGGCUCCAAGUAAUUAAGUUUGGAUAUUUUCCUCAGUAGGAGACUAAGCUUCUUUCCUCCUUCAGUUCCCUCCCAAAUAUAAGCAUAGGAUGAACUUUUGGUCUUUCUGCCUGGUCCCUUACCAAAGAUUAAGAAAAAACAAACCCCACCCUACCUGAGUCUGCAGAGGAGCUGAAAGAGCUGCUUUGCUUAUACAAGUGCCUUGGGUCCACCCGGAAGUGAGCAGUGUGGCCUCUGCUCAGUGCCCGUGUGCGGGGAAGUGGCGGGUACAGCAUGGUUCAGCUGCCCCCAGUGCCUCCUCCGAGGCUCCGCUCGCCACACCUGGGGACUUGGCACCUGCUCGCCUGGCUCCUCCUGUCUCUGUGUUUCCAGGGACUUGUGCGAUCCUUGUUUCUCUCACCCGUUAAGCUGCGGCUUCUCCCUGCCUCCCUCUUUCCCCGGGUUAGUUAAUUUGAAUUCCAGGUGAACAAGGAAGAACUUGUAAGUGAUUAUGUAAGUAUCAGUAUACUAAAAACUUCUUAUACUACAAAGCAUUUAUUGCUUAUCUGAAAUUCAAAUCUGACUAGGCACCCUGUGUUUGAUUGGCUGACCCUGGUCUCACCGGGCCCUUAGUGAAAGCACAAGCCACACCACCUUCACCAGUUCCCUGUCAUUCGGGAACUUGUGUUCGUUUCCACUCUGUUUCUCUGUUUCCACCUCUCUUUGUGCACUUAGGCUCUGGGCUGAUGCUGGGAGGAAAACGCAGCCCCUGUGAGUGGACACAGCACCCGGGCUUUCAGCAGCAGACACCCAGCGCAUCCCCAGCACAUCAGUUUGGCUCUCCCAGGACUCUAAGUCUAAGCUUUCUGGACCCUCAGAGAAGUUUUGGGUCCUGCACUCGCUCUGCUGUCUCAGUGCUGCUUCGUGCUACUACAGCCCCUUCUGCUUUAUGGACCACAUGUCAACCAAGUCUAGAGAAAAAGAUGGUGAUGUCACUGGACUGUUUACAUUUUCAUGUUGUUGGAUUCAAACUGGGAAAAGGAAACUGCGGCUGUGGCUCUGAAGAGGAGUUAAGUAUGAUUAGUGCAAUGGCUGAAGACUGGUCAGGGCAUAAUUUCUCAUUUUAAACAGAGAGCCCUGGACUCCAACUUGGGAGGCCUUAGCUGGCUCUGCCACUGGCUUUCCUAAGUCACUUCAAGCUUUGGUAACAGUUUUUUUUGUACAUGAUGUGUGGAUGAUCCCCAUGCCCUAGUUGUGUGGGGGAGUAUCUGAUGAGAUAAUCACAGGGAACGUGCUUGAAAAAAGAUGAAAUGUCCUACAGUGCCUGGCCUCUGAAAAGGGAAUGUCACUGGGCAUUUUUAAAUUGUUCUCGGGGCUUCCUCCCCUGGGUUGAAAAGGGGUUGGAGGAACUAACAUUUGCCUUUACUAGGGAUGCCAGAUAGAACAGCAGACAUUCAGCUGAAUUUGCCUAUCAGAUGAACAAUGACUAAUUUUAGCAUAAGUAUAUCCCACCUGUUGCAUGGGAUGUACUUAUACUAAACAUUACUUGUUGUUCUUGUGAGAUUCAGAUUUAACUGGGCAUUCUAUAUUUUUGUGGCUCUAUCUGGCAAACCUAGCUUUCUUGCCUUUGGUCUAGAAGGGAUCACCUUCUUUCUUUCCAUGUCCUACCAAGACCCAAGAUCUCAGCCCCUGGCUGUGGCUACGAGCUUAGCCAUGGGCUGCGGGUGGCACUUAAGAGUCAGAUGUUCAGCUCUAGAUAUUGAUCCACAUUUGCACACCAUUUUUUACUUGGGUGCCUGGGCAAGUCACUUAACCUUGCCAAGCCUCAGUGUUCACAGCUCUAAAACAAACAUCAGAACUCACCCUAUAAAGCUGUUCUGAGGGUACAACAAGCUGAUGUGCAUUUUUGGAAAGCUUUAAGGCACCAGGAACAGUAGUGUUUCCAUGCACUUUGCUCUGGGAAGCACAGUCUUAUACUUACAUACUUGAUCUCUGUGCCAUGAAGGGAUGGCUAGUGGCAGCAAUACAACAGCUUGAACAUGUUUUCCAACAAAAAAAAUCGACACGUUCUACUUCCCCCUAAUUUAAGAUUUCAAUGUCUUUCAUUGGCUUCAUGUGUUUUGUCAGUAAAUAUUGUAAACAUGCCUUUGUCUAUUGCUUGCAGGAGCUGUGUUUCUAGUUCAAGUUUCAGAGCAGUCCCUGCAUGCCUGACCCUUCAAGGAGCACCCACUUUGCGGCCCUGACACUUAGAAAACCCAGUCAGAGGCCGGGUGCAGUGGCUCACGCCUGUAAUCUCAGCACUUUGGGAGGCUGAGAUGGGCAGAUCACGAGGUCAGGGGUUCGAGACCAGCCUGGCCAACAAGGUGAAACACCGUCUCUAAUAAAAAUACAAAAAUUAGCCAGGCGUGGUGGUGCACGCCUGUAAUCCCAGCUACUUGGGAGGCUAAGGCAGGAGAAUCACUUGAACCUGGGAGGCGGAGGUUGCAGUGAGCCGAGGUUGCAUCACUGCACUCCAGCCUGGGCCACAGAGGGAGACUGUCAAAAAAAAAAAAGAAAAGAAAAAGAAAAAGAAAAGCCAGCCUGAGUUCUCUGUCCCCCGCUGUCCCAGCGUCUUCUUCCUCCACAUAAGAACUGAAGUGUGCCACGGUUGCUGGGAGAAGAUGGCAGCAGGGAACCCAGGGAUGAGGAGAGAAAACUCUGGCCGUGCAUCCCCGCCCCCAACAAGCUCAGGAAGGCUGGUGGGGUCAGAAGCCUGUCAGGCAAGAUGAUAGCAGGCGAGAGGAGGGUGGGAGUGGACUGACAUCACAGCUGGGGCGGCCUCUUGCUGGAGGCGAGGAUGCACGACAAAAGUCGCUGUGGGGCAGCUGAGGGCUGCUGGGGCUCCCUACCUAUGGGUUCUGCACGGUGGGGAGGGAGGCAUCCAUGUCCUCUGCCCUUUGCCCUCUGCCCUCUCUCAUCACCAUGCAGAUCCCCCGUGGCCUGACAUAGCUGCUGUCUUUCCCUGGCUGCUUCUUCACGGAGCCAAGUUAACUUUUGCAAUUCCUUUCUUCUCCUCUUGUCGAAGGCUCAUGUUUUCUCAGCCAUUCUGGGCACUUCCCUUUCAUUUCCUGGGAAAGAAAAGCUCAAUCUGUCUUCUCCCGACGGCAGUAAUCCUCUCUGUCGAGUUGUGAGUUGCUCACAUCCAUCCCACCAGAUCCAUCUGGUCCAGGCACCUUGUUGACUUUCUUAUUGGCUCUUUCUCUCGGCUGCGUUUGGCCUUCUGAUGCUUUUGAGAUUCCUUCUGCUCUGGUGGAGCCAUUUGUAAGGCUUCCCCUGGGUCCUCUGAAGCGUCUGCUGUUUUUCUCCUUCUCUGUUCCUCUUCCUAUGCUCUCUGUGUUUUCUAUUGUUCCGGCAGGCUUUCAUUGGUAGCAUAUGAUUUUUCAUUUUUUUCUUUGUAUUUGCUUAAUUUUGCUUUAUCCUUACAAAGGGUGGAAUUUUACUGUUCCCCACCCCCUGUGAUUGAUGGAAAAGAAUAUCAUACCAAUUGAUUGAGAUAAAAAAUUAGUGCGUCGCCAUAGAGAAGCCAAAUUAGCCACCAGAAGUAGGUGCACAGAGUAUUUUAAGAGUUUUUUUGAUUAAUUCUCAUGAUGUGAGGCCUUUUGACACAAAGUUUUAUGUGCUGCGAUGUGGGAGGAGGAAGAAGUGGUAACGGGUUAUUACAGGUUUUACUUUUACCUCUAGUUGAUUUAUUGGCCGACUCUUGCGGUAUGAAAUGAGGGCACUGCAGAUGUGAGGGUGUCUCCUUUUGGAGAGAACAAUUCCUGUGUGUGCGCGUGACCGUGUGUUUUCUAGAACGCAGGCUCAGGAUAUCAGGGACUAAGCCAAAAAGACUCAGAGUAGAAUUUUAGUGAAAAUGCCUACCGUUAUGGAAACAAAACAGCAAAAAGAGGCCCUUCUAACUCAGAUAGAUAUCACUCAGCACCUAAGAGUGACAGCUAAUCAAUUCUUUUAUCACCCUCCUAGAAGGAGAAAAUCCUAAUUUA